This is an RNA transcript of Nelumbo nucifera (sacred lotus), 2841 nucleotides long. It is a transcript of the gene named putative F-box protein At2g36090, with no coding region annotated. The record is from RefSeq and is a predicted model, not a curated record. NCBI's taxonomy places the organism in Eukaryota, Viridiplantae, Streptophyta, Magnoliopsida, Proteales, Nelumbonaceae.
AGAUUCUUUGCAGUUUGGCCAUGGCCAUAGGAAACACCAACAAGGAUCCGCCGGAGCUCGGAUUUUGGUAAAGCAGAGCAGAACCCCAUAGGCGAACAAAGACAAAAACAGCAGCGAAAACGCGCACAUCCGGACCGGAUAGGAGUGGGAGCUAAGAGAGACGUCAUAUAUCCCUCGUCUCCCGUAGGGUGGUUUCAUGAUUUGCGCACGGAACCAGUUAAAUCUGCGAAGAAAUGAGAAAAGCCCGACGAGCAGAUCCUACUCGGACGAAAUCUCGACCUGAGUAGUCGUUAAAUAUUCGUUUAUACUAUCAGAUCGUGCUUCUUCCAUCUUGAUCCUCUUAAAUUUUUCAACUUUUUCUUUUUUCGGGAUAGCAACAUCAGUGGCAAGAUGAUGAGGGUACUCUGUAUGAAAGCCCUUAAAGACAAUUUGCCAGCAAUGCACAUUCAUAAGUGGCAUACAAUGUGAUGACUUGGGGAUGACCAGAGGAGUCAGCAAUGUCAAUUUCACAAGUGGAAAGAAUGGAAUCUCUGAGCAAUGACAUUUUCUAUGACAUAUUGAGGCGUCUUGAUGGUGCAACAUUGGCCAGUGCAGCAUGUGCUUGUGCUGCUUUCCAUUCCAUCUCAAAGGAAGAGAGUAUAUGGGAAAAUGUCUGCCAUUCUUUAUGGCCUUCAACCAAUAGAGAAGAUGUUAGGAGUUUGAUUUCAUCAAUUGGUGGAUUCCGAAAGUUUUAUGCAGGGUGUUUCCCACUUAUUGUGAACAAGGAUGUUCCUGUGGCUCAGUUGGACUCUUGUCAUGAAUAUCUUGAAGAAUGGUCUGAUGCUGAUUAUUAUGGUGACAUGGAUGUAUUUGAGAGUGUUUCACCCUCAGAUUUUGUCUCUAUUGUGGAUAUCAGAUAUAAGGAUAAAGCUAUUUAUUCAAAGGUCCUCUGGGGUAUUCCUGAUUCAGAUGGUACCAAUGGUUGGUUUUACAACUGCCCCUUUCGGAUUGACCUUCUUAGCUAUUCAGAUGGGAAUGAUGCCAAUGAAGAUGAAAUUAUCCUAUCAGUAUCUGAUGGUCUGCCGCCAGUUACAUCCAUAGAGAGGGAGAGGAAAGAUGGAAAGCUUUGGAGGGAGCUCCGAGAUGGAAUCAGGCUUAGUUGGAUUAUUGUAAACAAAAAGGCAAAACAAGCCGCUAAUUUUGCUAGCUGGAGCCCUCUUGGGGGGCAAAGGCAUUGGCCAACAGACAAUGAUUUCUUGCUACAUUUUGGAUCCAUUCUUCCUGCCAAGGAUAUCCUUCCAUGUCGAGUAGUAGAAUGCAUUCUUGUCAUGAAAUGUAAAGUGAUACAUAGUGGGGAAGGAGAGGAUAAUCAUACACUUCUCAAGCUAACAGAGCUAAGCAUGCAGCUGAAAGACAUGGGGGGUAGUCAUUUGAAUGGAAGAAAUAGUUUGCUUGUCCUUAAAGAAGCACUAAGCUGCCGUAGGAGCAAAAAUUAUACUGAAGUUCUAGAAUCACGCCAUUUGUACUCAAAAGCACAAAGUGAGUUGAAAGAGGAGAGGAUGAGAAAUGAAAGUUAUAUAGACAGAUUAUGUAUCUUAAGCGGCAUAGCUGCACUUCUCACAUUCUGGUACUGCAUUUUAUGAAAUAGACCAUACUGUUGUUCUGAUCAUUAUCUUGAUUGAUAUACUUUUCAUAUUUCCUCAAGGACUGAAAUUCGGCAAAAAAAAUGGCCUGGAGAAGUGGCAUAAUUUUAGUCAUAUCAACUGCUCUGAUGGAUAUCUGACCCAAGAGGCCACGAAGCAGCUAAAAAUGUUAUUGUUGUACUCAUAUUAUAGACUUCUAUUUUCACUUUGGCCAAUCAAGUUAAUUCAUUGACUGUAUCAAUAACAAAUCUGAGCAGUAUGUUUAAACUCUGAUGUGUACUGUUUUCAACCUUGUAUUAUAACUCAGUAAUUAGUUGGAAAGAACUGAGUGAAGAAUCUCUUGCAAAGCUUCCUUGAACAAAGAAUCCUCUCAAUCCAGCAAUGACUGAAUAUGCUUGGUUUUGUAGCCGAACUUGUACCUCCAGACUACCUUCAUCCCCUUUCUUUCUCUCUACUUGGAAAAGUUAAUCCGAAGGAAUCAGGUAUUCAGGUUAGACUCAGGGUUGAGCCCUUGGGCAAGCAGAUGCAAGUCCAAACCAAUGUGUUAUGCAUGUAAGCUGCCAGGAUGAAAAUUCCAAAGAGAGGGGCAUUGGGUUCACUUCUAGUUCCAGCCAUCCCAAAGAACCGAAAAGGAACAGCAAAAGAAAAGUCUGAGCAAUUUUUUAUUACACCAGUUCCACAGCUCACGUGUUCAAGACGAACAUGCCUGAGAUAAAGAUGGAAGAGAUUAAGGUGGAGGUUGAGGAUGGAAGGAUCGUCUAGAUCAACAAAUGUGAGGAGCUGUGAGAAUGAGACGAAGAACAAUGCUUGGGAAUGCAUCGGAUGGAGUAGUGGCAAGUUCCUAAGGAGGUUCUAGACUUCUUGUUAUCAGAGAAGGCGAAGGCUGAUCAAGUGAGAGAGGCGAUGGAAGAUGGAAUGUUGACUAUAAUCAUGCCAAAGGAUGAGGUGAAGAAACCCAAUAUGAAGUUGAUUAAGAUCUCUGGUUGAGUCCAUCAUCCACAAAAUAGAUAAUCCGACUAUUAUUUCCCUACUUUUCCCUUUUCUUAUGGUUUGUAAGGGUGGAAAAUGGUAGGAAAUGAGAAAAUUGCAAUCCCAUGAUCCCAUCCAUGACAAUGCAGCUUAUUGAUUAGAAAAAAUUGCAGGAAAUGAGAGAUUGGUUAAGUAGGUCUCAAAAGGAUUAUUAUCCAGACUAGAAUAAAAAAGCAGGGUUUGUUAGGGA